This 274-nucleotide ribosomal RNA is filed under the name uncultured bacterium. RNAcentral describes it as "partial 16S ribosomal RNA". It matches the Rfam family "Bacterial small subunit ribosomal RNA", at positions 523 to 796 of the family's 1533-position model. The record is from RNAcentral.
AUACGGAGGGUGCAAGCGUUGUUCGGAAUCACUGGGCGUAAAGGGCGCGCAGGCGGUUUGGUAAGUCAGAUGUGAAAGCCCAUGGCUCAACCAUGGAAGUGCAUAUGAAACUGUCAGACUUGAGUAUCAGAGGGGAAAGUGGAAUUCCCGGUGUAGAGGUGAAAUUCGUAGAUAUCGGGAGGAAUACCGGUGGCGAAGGCGACUUUCUGGCUGAAUACUGACGCUGAGGCGCGAAAGCGUGGGGAGCAAACAGGAUUAGAAACCCCGGUAGUCC